This 465-nucleotide ribosomal RNA is filed under the name uncultured bacterium. RNAcentral describes it as "partial 16S ribosomal RNA". It matches the Rfam family "Bacterial small subunit ribosomal RNA", at positions 28 to 507 of the family's 1533-position model. The record is from RNAcentral.
GACGAACGCUGGCGGCGUGCUUAACACAUGCAAGUCGAACGGAAAGGCCCCAGCUUGCUGGGGUACUCGAGUGGCGAACGGGUGAGUAACACGUGGGUGAUCUGCCCUGCACUCUGGGAUAAGCCUGGGAAACUGGGUCUAAUACCGGAUAGGACCGUGCUUUAGUGUGUGCGGUGGAAAGUUUUUCGGUGCAGGAUGAGCCCGCGGCCUAUCAGCUUGUUGGUGGGGUAAUGGCCUACCAAGGCGGCGACGGGUAGCCGGCCUGAGAGGGUGUACGGCCACAUUGGGACUGAGACACGGCCCAGACUCCUACGGAAGGCAGCAGUGGGGAAUAUUGCACAAUGGGCGCAAGCCUGAUGCAGCGACGCCGCGUGGGGGAUGACGGCCUUCGGGUUGUAAACCCCUUUCGGCAGGGACGAAGCUUUUGUGACGGUACCUGCAGAAGAAGCACCGGCUAACUACGUG